CCUACGGGAGGCUGCAGUGGGGAAUAUUGCGCAAUGGGCGAAAGCCUGACGCAGCGACGCCGCGUGAGGGAUGAAGGUCUUCGGAUCGUAAACCUCUGUUAGCAGUGAAGAACGGUCACUGUGCUAAUCAGCCGUUAAUUGACGGUACCUACAAAGGAAGCACCGGCUAACUCCGUGCCAGCAGCCGCGGUAAUACGGAGGGUGCGAGCGUUAAUCGGAUUUACUGGGCGUAAAGCGCUCGUAGGCGGUAUGUCAAGUCAAGUGUGAAAUCCCCGCGCUCAACGUGGGAACUGCCUUUGAAACUGGCAAACUGGAGUGUGUGAGAGGAGAGUGGAAUUCCAGGUGUAGGAGUGGAAUCCGUAGAUAUCUGGAGGAACAUCAGUGGCGAAGGCGACUAUCUGGCACAUAACUGACGCUGAGGAGCGAAAGCAUGGGUAGCAAACAGGAUUAGAUACCCUAGUAGUC
This 465-nucleotide ribosomal RNA is filed under the name uncultured bacterium. Its description in RNAcentral is "partial 16S ribosomal RNA". It matches the Rfam family "Bacterial small subunit ribosomal RNA", at positions 338 to 795 of the family's 1533-position model. The record is from RNAcentral.